GGAAAACAAGGGUUUACCCUUGUUCUCACCAAAUUCACCAAAUUGACAAGGAAAAAUCGAUGCUUAACAGUUGCAUGUAGUAAAAUUUCGAUCAUCUACCCAUACCCGGUGAAGUGGAAUGAAAGUGGGGUACUAAAGGAAUGAAUGAAUGUAUUGAUAUAGGUGCGAAGGAAGAAGGUUCAAACUCUAAGAAAUCGGAAGGAUCACAAGACCGAGGUAAAUACUCAAUUUAGGCGACUUGGAGAAUUGGAGCGAGCACAUGUUCAUGAUAUGUCAUACCAAACGCUUCCGCUAGUUGCACUUAUGUUUUGGGUCAAAUUUCCAUUUUGUACAACUUGUUAGUAGUCGUAUAUUUUAAAACUUGUUGCCUUUGUUUUCGGUAGUAUUAUGUCAAACGGAUCGUAGGAUGUUAAUUAGUUUGAUUAUGUUCAAAACAGGGGCAUGCUCGUUUUAUGGACGGGUCAUGCCCAAAUUUUGUAAAAAUUAUGCAUCAAGUUGGUACUUUUGAUGUCUUUAA
Long non-coding RNA from Helianthus annuus (common sunflower), 517 nucleotides. RefSeq lists it as uncharacterized. Lineage: Eukaryota; Viridiplantae; Streptophyta; Magnoliopsida; Asterales; Asteraceae. The transcript has 3 exons. The record is from RefSeq and is a predicted model, not a curated record.